GGAAAACACUUUUACGGUUAUUAAAAAAGUUCUGAUUUUGUUGCUUGAUAUCGUUUUCAUCGGUGCACCCCUAGGGCGUUUUUUUCUGGGUUACCUUGGCGACAAACACAACUACUCUGCUAAAAAUCGUUUUUUUUUUUGCAGUAAUUUAUAUCGUUGUACACCUUAUAUGUCAACUAUACCCGCCGACAACUGCAGUGGCGUAUAUACCGUGAGCAGUAUCAACUAUUUCAGAAGUUUUAUUAUGACUAUGUUGGAAAAUAUGACUAUAAUAGUGACGGUGUUGCUCACCGUUGCUUU
This is a non-coding RNA of Cinara cedri, 300 nucleotides long. The record is from the annotation of a GenBank genome assembly. Lineage: Eukaryota; Metazoa; Arthropoda; Insecta; Hemiptera; Aphididae.